CAAAGAGUGGCGAACGGGUGAGUAACACGUGGGUAACCUACCUCUUAGCAGGGGAUAACAUUUGGAAACAAGUGCUAAUACCGUAUAAUACCAACAACCGCAUGGUUGUUGGUUGAAAGAUGGUUCUGCUAUCACUAAGAGAUGGACCCGCGGUGCAUUAGCUAGUUGGUAUGGUAACGGCUUACCAAGGCAAUGAUGCAUAGCCGAGUUGAGAGACUGAUCGGCCACAAUGGGACUGAGACACGGCCCAUACUCCUACGGGAGGCAGCAGUAGGGAAUCUUCCACAAUGGGCGCAAGCCUGAUGGAGCAACGCCGCGUGUGUGAUGAAGGGUUUCGGCUCGUAAAACACUGUUAUAAGAGAAGAACGGCACUGAGAGUAACUGUUCAGUGUGUGACGGUAUCUUACCAGAAAGGAACGGCUAAAUACGUGCCAGCAGCCGCGGUAAUACGUAUGUUCCAAGCGUUAUCCGGAUUUAUUGGGCGUAAAGCGAGCGCAGACGGUUAUUUAAGUCUGAAGUGAAAGCCCUCAGCUCAACUGAGGAAUGGCUUUGGAAACUGGAUGACUUGAGUGCAGUAGAGGAAAGUGGAACUCCAUGUGUAGCGGUGAAAUGCGUAGAUAUAUGGAAGAACACCAGUGGCGAAGGCGGCUUUCUGGACUGUAACUGACGUUGAGGCUCGAAAGUGUGGGUAGCAAACAGGAUUAGAUACCCUGGUAGUCCACACCGUAAACGAUGAGUGCUAGAUGUUCGAGGGUUUCCG
This 760-nucleotide ribosomal RNA is filed under the name uncultured bacterium. Its description in RNAcentral is "bacterial SSU rRNA". It matches the Rfam family "Bacterial small subunit ribosomal RNA", at positions 89 to 836 of the family's 1533-position model. The record is from RNAcentral.